This 261-nucleotide non-coding RNA is filed under the name Gossypium arboreum. RNAcentral describes it as "Bacterial large subunit ribosomal RNA". It matches the Rfam family "Bacterial large subunit ribosomal RNA", at positions 959 to 1229 of the family's 2925-position model. Lineage: Eukaryota; Viridiplantae; Streptophyta; Magnoliopsida; Malvales; Malvaceae. The record is from Rfam by way of RNAcentral.
AAUCGGGCUAUUACACGGCCAGUGAGAUGGUUGGGGAUAAACUUCAUCAACGAGAGGGAAAUAGCCUAGAUCACUAGUUAUGGCCCCUAAAUUACCGUUCAAUAAUAAAGAAGGUAGGGGUGCAGAUAUAGCCAAGACGUUUUCCUAUAAGUAGCCACCCUUGAAAAAGUACAUAAUAGCUCACUGGUCGAGCGAUCUUGCACCAAAUAUGAAUGGGCUAAGUGAUCUACCAAAGCUAUGGGAUGUAAAAAUGCAUCAGUU